This 497-nucleotide ribosomal RNA is filed under the name uncultured bacterium. RNAcentral describes it as "partial 16S ribosomal RNA". It matches the Rfam family "Bacterial small subunit ribosomal RNA", at positions 28 to 507 of the family's 1533-position model. The record is from RNAcentral.
GAUGAACGCUGGCGGCGUGCCUAAUACAUGCAAGUCGAGCGAACAGACGAGGAGCUUGCUCCUCUGACGUUAGCGGCGGACGGGUGAGUAACACGUGGAUAACCUACCUAUAAGACUGGGAUAACUUCGGGAAACCGGAGCUAAUACCGGAUAACAUAUUGAACCGCAUGGUUCAAUAGUGAAAGACGGUUUUGCUGUCACUUAUAGAUGGAUCCGCGUCGCAUUAGCUAGUUGGUAAGGUAACGGCUUACCAAGGCGACGAUGCGUAGCCGACCUGAGAGGGUGAUCGGCCACACUGGAACUGAGACACGGUCCAGACUCCUACGGGAGGCAGCAGUAGGGAAUCUUCCGCAAUGGGCGAAAGCCUGACGGAGCAACGCCGCGUGAGUGAAGAAGGUCUUCGGAUCGUAAAACUCUGUUAUUAGGGAAGAACAAAUGUGUAAGUAACUAUGCACGUCUUGACGGUACCUAAUCAGAAAGCCACGGCUAACUACGUG